AUGGAACAGAUUAGCCUAGGUAAUAGCAUUAGGAGAAUUAACAUUGGAAAGGUUGAAAUAAUACCUCAACUGAAGCCACAAGUCCCAAAUGAGCUAAAACGCAAGAAGCGUGGGUGCAGAGUGGGAGCAAAACGGAGACAGAAAAAGAGGAAAUUCAAACCUUCUCUUCCAUCGAUCAUAAUGGGCAAUGUGAGAUCACUGGCCAACAAGAUGGAGGAACUCCAAGCCCUUUCAAGGACUCAGCCAGAGUAUCGGCAGUGCAGUGUUAUGUGUUUCACUGAGACGUGGCUGCAGGACCAUAUCCCCGAUUCCAGCGUCUCUCUGCCAGGAUUCCUGACUGUACGAGCAGACAGGGAUCUGAAGAGGAGCGGGAAAAGAAAAGGAGGUGGAGUGGCAGUGCUUGUCAACAACAGAUGGUGCCAUCCAGGUCAUGUUUCAGUGAAAUGUCGUCUCUGCAGCCCCGAUGUUGAACUCUUGGCAGUAAGUUGUCACCCGUAUUAUUUGCCAAGAAAGUUCACCAGUGUUGUCUUGGCAACUGUUUAUAUUCCACCUUCAUCCAUUGCUGAAAGUGCAUGUGAUGCCAUCAGUUCCGUUGUCGCUAAGCUACAAACCUUGCACCCCAAUGCAUUUGUGGCUAAAUCUGGUGAUUUUAAUCAUGCCUCGCUCUCUGCUACACUUCCAACAUUUCAUCAGUUUGUCAGCUGCUCCACCAGAGAAAACAAGACAUUGGAUUUGUGUUAUGCAAAUGUAAAGAAUGCAUACAUGUCCAAAACUAGACCUCCUCUGGGACAAUCAGAUCACAAUCUUGUUUUUCUCUGCUCAGAAUACAAACCACUUGUUCAGAGGCAACCUUUGACAAGAAGAACUGUUAGAAAAUGGUCACAGGACGCUGAAGAAGCCCUGCAGAGUUGUUUUGAGACCACAGAUUGGAUGACUCUCUGCCAAGGAUAUGAAGAGGACAUCAAUGCCAUGACUGGAUGUGUCACUGACUAUAUAAACUUCUGUGUGGACAACAUCAUACCCACCAGAACAGUGAGAUGCUUCGCUAAUAACAAACCCUGGAUCACCAGUGAACUGAAGAAUCUGCUAAAUGAGAAAAAAAGAGCCUUCAAGGAGGGAGACAGGGAAUUAUUGAGGAGUAUACAGAAGCAACUGAAGAUCAAGAUCAGAGACAGCAAGGAGGCAUACAGGAAGAAGCUGGAGAACAAACUACAGAGGAACAAUAUCAGAGAUGUCUGGUCAGGGAUGAAGAAGAUCACAGGCUUCAAGCAGAGGAAGGAUUGCACAGAUGGCAGCCUGGACACAGCCAAUGAACUGAACAAGUUCUUCAAUAGGUUCAGUUCAGGAACAAACCCAGCAUCCUCCUCGCCUGUCCCCAGCCAAUCAGACAUCCCAUCCUCCUCUGAUCCAACAUUUUCCUGUCACACGCCAGCUCUUUUGUCCUCUAACGCAGUCAUGGACUCUUCUGGUUCUAUAAAUCUGUCUUCAACCAAGUCAGGAGAUGCUGCUGCCCCAUUUACCUCCCCCUCCCACCUAUCUGUCUCUAGAAGUCAGGUGAAGAGGCAGCUGGAGAGACUGAACAGGAACAAGGCUGCAGGUCCAGAUGGUGUCAGCCCCAGAGUACUGAAGGCCUGUGCAGAGCAGCUCUGUGGGAUUCUGCAGCACCUCUUCAACCUCAGCCUGGCCCAGGAGAAGGUUCCAGUCCUGUGGAAGACAUCCUGCCUUGUUCCAGUUCCAAAGAAAACUCGCCCAUCAGUCAAUGACGACUACAGACCGGUUGCCCUGACAUCCCACAUCAUGAAGGUCCUGGAGAGACUCCUGUUGGUCCACCUGAAUAAGCAAACUAGAACAUAUCAGGACCCGCUGCAGUUUGCUUAUCGCCAUGGAGUUGGAGUUGAAGAUGCCAUCAUCCAGCUGCUUCAACCA
This is a long non-coding RNA of Nothobranchius furzeri (turquoise killifish), 1926 nucleotides long. The record is from Ensembl. Lineage: Eukaryota; Metazoa; Chordata; Actinopteri; Cyprinodontiformes; Nothobranchiidae.